CUACAUUGCUUUGAGUUUCAUAUCACAUAUUCUUAAAAUAAAAUUGUAAAAUUAUUUAUAAAAUAAUGUAGGUUACAAAUCUGGAAAUGGAAGCCCUCUAAGAUAUAGUUUAAAUUCAGGUUCUUCUAGAUUAAAACGAAGAAAAUGUGCAUUAACAGACACAUAAUGUGAUUGUUUAUCUAUGGCCGUGUUCAAUCUCAAACCGCCCCUGUGCUGCCUGUAUCAUAAAAAGUCUUUGGUAUCUAGUUGGGCCAUUCAGUCGAUUUCGGGCCGUUGAAACAGUUGGAAGCGGUGGUCGCGUAUUACCUGCAUUUUCACACUUUUCUCUUCCAUUUACUUCUCCCUCGCGGCAACAAGGGCAGGUGCAUUUGGUCGGUGUUUCGUAGUGUCCCUGACUAACUGCGUGAGUGUGUGUGUGAGACGAAAGUGUGCGUGUAUUUAGGAGUAAAGGCGCGUGAAAUAUUAUAUCAACGAUAACAACAAUAACAACAACCAAAGAGAAGUCACAGUCAGCUGUAAAGUUUCAGUUAAUGUGUAAA
This is a long non-coding RNA of Drosophila willistoni, 539 nucleotides long. RefSeq lists it as uncharacterized. Lineage: Eukaryota; Metazoa; Arthropoda; Insecta; Diptera; Drosophilidae. The record is from RefSeq and is a predicted model, not a curated record. The transcript is spliced from 2 exons.